UAUUUCUAUAUUCAUCAUUUUUAUUAAUAUUCUUUUUUUAAUAAUAUUACUCAUUAUUAUCCAUGCUCCUGCAAUGCUGGCUCUUGUGGUCUAAUCUUCUGAUUGUGUCUUCACAAGUCACAGAUAAGAAGGAAUGUUUCCAUUUCAAGGUUUCACAGGAGGUUGUGAAGCAGUUUGGUAACUUUUACGAUAAUCAGACGAACCCAGGCGAAGCACAGACAGACAAAGACGUAAAUGAGAUCAUUCAAUAAACUCUGUUAAUCUAUUAUUUAUCCCUUUUUUACCUUAGUAAAAUGGAAGACAAUUAAGAAUAAUUCACUUGUUGACCGUUUGGAUAUCAAGACCAACAUUGUGGUGGAGACAAGUUUUUUUUUUACCAUGGAUGGAUCCAACAUUCCCGGUGACUGAAAGUGACUGGUGACGUGUAACAGGAAAGCUGUGCCUCCUUUCAGGAACGAAGGCCUGAAACCGAUUAUACCACAAAGUUGCAUUCAUACGCCAUCUGCUGGUAAAUAUGAAAAUUGUUUUUGAAAAUCUCAUAAUGUUCUCUAGGCCUAGAACAUGUCAAGAGCACAAUUUAAAAUGAUUUCUGAAACAAUACAUUUUGGAUUUGGUUUUCAGCGUUGAUGUAUUUCGG
This is a long non-coding RNA of Carassius auratus (goldfish), 637 nucleotides long. RefSeq lists it as uncharacterized. The record is from RefSeq and is a predicted model, not a curated record. NCBI's taxonomy places the organism in Eukaryota, Metazoa, Chordata, Actinopteri, Cypriniformes, Cyprinidae. The transcript has 3 exons.